UGUCCAGGGGCGGGAAUCGAACCCACAACCUUCUGCUUACCGGGCAGGUGCCAUGCCAUGUGUUGUGGGUUCGAUUCCCGCCCCUGGAC
RNAcentral lists this transfer RNA (89 nucleotides) under Cordylochernes scorpioides. RNAcentral's name for it is "tRNA-Thr". Lineage: Eukaryota; Metazoa; Arthropoda; Arachnida; Pseudoscorpiones; Chernetidae. The record is from RNAcentral.